This 73-nucleotide unclassified non-coding RNA is filed under the name Epilithonimonas hungarica. RNAcentral's name for it is "Chryseobacterium hungaricum Flavo-1 RNA". Lineage: Bacteria; Pseudomonadati; Bacteroidota; Flavobacteriia; Flavobacteriales; Weeksellaceae. The record is from RNAcentral.
GCGCAGCCCGGCUUGAGCGGAGCUCUUUUUCUUUUUUCAAAAGAAAAAAGCGGGAGCGGAAGACGGAAAUAGC